ACCAGGGUUGGCCCAAGAUUGGGCCUAUCUGGUUAUCAUGGCCAUACAUUGGACAAGCUUAGGCCAGGGUACAGCCAAGAUUUGUACAUGCUUGCAUCCCUUGAUACCUUGAUAUUUAAGCGUUUUUACCCUGGCUGCCAAGAUUACACUGAUUUAUGUAUUCACUGCAGAAAUUUUAGUUAAAUAUGCUUGUUAAACUUAAUAUAUGUUAACUAAAAUAAGUUAUCUUUUAAUAUCAUGCUCUAAUUUAAACAUAGUAUUAAUAACAAACUACGUUGCAUGUGUUAAACAUUUUGUUAAACUUUUUAAAAGUGUGUGCGCUACUGCCGCCGGCCCCUCUCGCCCAUUGUCCCUUUGUUCACAUUUCUUCACAUUCCUUCCUAUUGUUCGCAAGCCAGCAUACCCGUCCUUCGCCAUUUUUCUUAACAAAAGACUUUGUUUCCAGUCACAGUAAAACAGCUUCCUAUGGGAGAAUAAGAUGUAAGAUGUGUAAAUAGUAGUGUGGAGACCUCAGAGCAACACUUAAUUUCAUGACCAACAGUGAUAAGGCCUCCAGGUGUUGUGUGUAUCAAUCAGCCCACUGGAGAUAUAUCAAUCUUUUAAUAAAUUAUAAGGUCCCCACUGCUUGAUACUUCACCA
Molecule: long non-coding RNA, 639 nt
Organism: Physella acuta
Lineage: Eukaryota; Metazoa; Mollusca; Gastropoda; Physidae
Source: RefSeq, a predicted model, not a curated record